UACGUAGGUGGCAAGCGUUAUCCGGAAUUACUGGGCGUAAAGCGCACGCAGGCGGUCUUGUAAGUUUGACGUGAAAGCUCUCGGCUUAACUGGGAGAGGUCGUUGAAUACUGCGAGACUUGAGUUUAGGAGAGGGGUGUAGAAUUCCCGGUGUAGUGGUGGAAUGCGUAGAUAUCGGGGGGAAUACCAGUGGCGAAAGCGGCACCCUAGCCUAUGACUGACGCUCAUGUGCGAAAGCGUGGGGAGCG
RNAcentral lists this ribosomal RNA (247 nucleotides) under uncultured bacterium. RNAcentral describes it as "partial 16S ribosomal RNA". It matches the Rfam family "Bacterial small subunit ribosomal RNA", at positions 524 to 770 of the family's 1533-position model. The record is from RNAcentral.